UACCAGCACCCCGAGUGGUCGGGAUGAUUAUUUGGCCUAAAGCAUCCGUAGCCGGCGCUCCAAGUCUUCCGUUAAAUCCACCUGCUCCACAGAUGGGCUGCGGGAGAUACUGUUGCGCUAGGAGGCGGGAGAGGCGAGGGGUAUUCCACGGGUAGGGGUAAAAUCCUCUGAUCCAUGGAGGACCACCAGUGGCGAAGGCGUCUCGCCAGAACGCGCUCGACGGUGAGGGAUGAAAGCUGGGGGAGCAAACCGG
RNAcentral lists this ribosomal RNA (253 nucleotides) under uncultured archaeon. RNAcentral describes it as "partial 16S ribosomal RNA". It matches the Rfam family "Archaeal small subunit ribosomal RNA", at positions 474 to 727 of the family's 1478-position model. The record is from RNAcentral.